UCUUCUCCUGAGUUUCACUGACGACCUUCACCAAUCCAGGAAAUGCACUCUUCUCAUUACUAUCGUAGGAGGAGGUACAGGAGCCUGAAGAUGUACACUCAACAUUUCAGGAACAGCUUCUUCUCCACCACUAUUAGAUUUCUGAGCAGUCUGUGAAUCCAUAAACUCUACUUUGAACACAGAUUCUGCCUUUGGUGGAAAUCCAAAGCAACACACACAAAAACCAGGAGGAACCCAACAGAUCAGGCAGCAUGUAUGGGUUCUCUUGAGGAUCCUGUCCUGGAAUUACACACUGACAUUGAGGGAAUGGGACCCACUCUCAGGGUUUCACGACUGGCCGUUAUUCGACAUGCCAAGGAUGCAGCCUAAGAACUUAGCUUGCCUUCGGAGGUCUGAGAUCUCGUGGCCCUGGAGACGGGCAGGUCGAAGAUUACUGGGUAGACCCCGGAAGAGCACCUGAAUAAUCUUGAUAAACCCUUCUCCCGACUGCUGCAGUGUGGUCUACGACUAAAACAUGAGAAAAGCAUCAUUCCAGCAGAUCAUUUAGAAUACCUGGGUCUUCACUUGGAUUCCAAAUCCAAUUAAAGAAAAGCUUCACUCCAUUCUUGAAGCCCAGCAACAAGGAACAUACUUGAACUUGGCUCCUUUUUGGACAUGUUCAAUCAUCAUGCCAGAUUAUUGAAGAAAGAUAUGAGGUGACAUUGGGAUUAGGCAGAGGAAUCUGUUUUUCAGAGAGCCAAACUAAAGCUGACUCAAUCGCAAGCAUGAAUGCACUCCAGUCAUAGGGUGCCAAUCGUUUUGUACUAUGAAGUCGCUCUGUAUGGUGUUGGUGUGAUGGUAAGACAGAAGAAUAUGGAUGGCGAUGAAAAGCCUGCUGCUUUCAUGUUUUAACCCAGCUGAGCAAAACUAGUUGGACAAGUUGAUCAGCAGUUUCUGAGAUACUCAAACCACCUGGUCUGGCAUCAGCAAUAAUUCCACAGGUUAAAGUCACUUAGAUCACAUUUCUUCCAAAUUCUAAUGCUAGGUCAGUGUAUAAUGGCUGCACCAACAGUAAUCACUGUUAAGGUUCAAUAAACUGAUUAGAAAAGCUGGCUCUGUAAUAGGAGUCAAACUGGACACCUUCGUGGUAGAACAAAGGACCCUACGGAAAAUCCUGGCAAUUCUGGACAAUGUUUCUUACCCUCUGCAUGCCACCUUGGCUGAACAAAGGAGCACUUUUAGUAAUAGACUAAGACAACUGUGCUGCUCCAAAGAGUACUAAAUGAGGUCAUUCUUACCUUUAGCCAUUAGGCUCCAUAACGAGUCAACCCAUAACCAGAGAAAAGAUGACCCCUUCCUGUUAGACUUGUGGUAACUUAUGUUUUGUUCUUUCUACUUCUCUUCUAAUAUUUAUACCUGUGCAUUUGUAAUGCUACUGUGACACUGUAAUUUCCUUUGGGAUCAAUAAAGAAUCUAUAUCUAUUUGACAAAUUCAUUGCAAUAGAUAUUGACUGUAUAUCAUUCAGAAAGAUGACAUCUGGCCUAUUAAAGAGAAAAAUUAGCUUUAUUUGACAUAUGUACAUCUUGCCAAGCUAGCCACAAUUCCUUGCUACCGUGUCUUUAUAUCAUUCCCAAAUCAAACUUCUCAAUCGCUCCUUAACUCUGUAACAAUCCCAAAUUAACUUUAUUGACUGCCAUUGCCUUUACCUUUAAAUCUGUUCAAUACUAAAUUGGUCCCACUCUGGACUUGUGCAUAUCACAAUAAACUUGACUUUGACUUUGCUCUCCCUUCUUGUCUACACUUGAAUCAAUAUCAAAUUAAUUCAACCACUCCAUCUCACUGUAACACUAACCCUAUUGUUCUGACAUCUUUCCUUAAACUUGUGACAACUGUAAAGCAAAGCAUCAGUCUUGCUCUCUUCUAAGAAUAUCGUAGUAUCAAUUUCACCAAAUCCUUAUAUCUACAAACUUCCCAUUGUCUUCUUAUCAAACCCAUAUCAAGAGGAUAGUGAGGUCAGCUGAAGGGAUCAUCGGGGUCUCUCUUUCCGCCAUUACAGACAGUUAUGCCACACGCUGCAUCCGCAAAGCAAACAGCAUUGUGAAGGACCCCACCCGCCCCUCAUACAAACUCUUCUCCCUCCUGCCAUCUGGGAAAAGGCACUGAAGCAUUCGGGCUCUCACGAUCAGACUGUGUAACAGUUUCUUCCCCCAAGCCAUCAGACUCCUCAAUUCCCAGAGUCUAGUCUAGACACACACCCACACAUACACCCCCCCCCACACACACACAUAUUCACACACACACACACACACACACACCAUCCCCCCCCACUCCCUUUGCAAUUUUUGCUCAGUUCUUUCUCAAUUCCUGCUAAAACACUAUUUACAUUGUUUACAUUUACAUCAUUUAUUAUUACAUUUAUUAUUACAUUUAUUAUUAUAUUGUAAUUUACCCUUUACUGUGUCUAUUGUCUUGUUUAUUAAUUAUUCUAA
Hypanus sabinus (Atlantic stingray) is the source of this 2469-nucleotide long non-coding RNA. RefSeq lists it as uncharacterized. The record is from RefSeq and is a predicted model, not a curated record. The transcript has 3 exons. NCBI's taxonomy places the organism in Eukaryota, Metazoa, Chordata, Chondrichthyes, Myliobatiformes, Dasyatidae.